Eriocheir sinensis (Chinese mitten crab) is the source of this 1044-nucleotide long non-coding RNA. RefSeq lists it as uncharacterized. The record is from RefSeq and is a predicted model, not a curated record. The transcript has 2 exons. Lineage: Eukaryota; Metazoa; Arthropoda; Malacostraca; Decapoda; Varunidae.
CUCAACCCCUCUCGCUUCCUCUGCAGCCGCCACCACCCCAUAGGCCAGUUUCACAUGGAAAACUAUAGCAUCGAUCGGCGCCAUUGGUAACGAUCAAAACAAAGGAUCCCUAAGUGCCGAAAGUCUGUCAUAAGCAGCCUGAAUUUACUAAUUCACCCUAAAGUAACCUUACUCUGUCUUGAAUGACCCUAAACUAAUGUAAUUCACUCUCAUCUUACCUAAAACUACAGUUGAAUUACCCUAAACUUGCCUUAAAAUAAUCCCCUAAACGUAAUUCACUCCAAGGUAACCUGAAUCUGACCUAUCCUGACCUUACCUUAAUAUCCUAACCUUACCUUAACUUAUCCUGACCUUACCCUUAAGUGAGGGUUUCAGGACGGUACAGAAUUCUGCUAAUAUUUUCUGCACCUGUACAUGUAUGUUCAUAAGCCCAGCAUAAUUUUUCAUUAACACUAUUAUUAUUAUUAUUAUUAUUAUUAUUAUUAUUAUUAUUAUUAUUAUUAUUACUAUUAUUAUUAUUAUUAUUAUGCACUAUAUUCAAAGGUUAGGUUAUAUAUUAUGCAUUCAAAGAUUGUUUUACUAAAGUUAUGAUUAAAUUUUUUUAUUAUUGUAGGGCUAUUGUAUGUGUGAAUUGUUUUGAUUCUCUCUCUCUCUCUCUCUCUCUCUCUCUCUCUCUCUCUCUCUCUCUCUCUCUCUCUCUCUCUCUCUCUCUCUCUCUCUUUCUAUAAUUUUAGCCUGAAAAGAAUUUAUAAUGACCUCAAAAAAUGAAUUAUCAACUGUACUAAUAUCUUUACUUAUCUUUAGAGACAAGAAGAAGAAGAGGAAGAGGAAGACUGACAGACAGACAUUCCAUUGAGUGUGCGGUGUCCCGCAGGCAGGCAGACCGAGACGCCAGCCAUUCAAUUCUGCCGAGGGAAGGAAGUCGUGUUAGUCAACUCUGAUGACUUGUACUUUUCUCUGCAAGGGACUGUUCUGUAAGCCAGUCACAGAAGAUGUGAACUGUAUCUGUACUAUGAAGUCUUAUAAAUAAAGUUAAGAGCUACA